AUACAUGCAAGUCGAGCGGACCAAACAGGAGCUUGCUCUUGUUUGGUUAGCGGCCGACGGGUGAGUAACACGUGGGUAACCUGCCCGUAAGACCGGGAUAACUCCGGGAAACCGGAGCUAAUACCGGAUAACACCGAAGACUGCAUGGUCUUUGGUUGAAAGGCGGCUUCGGCUGCCACUUACGGAUGGGCCCGCGGCGCAUUAGCUAGUUGGUGAGGUAACGGCUCACCAAGGCGACGAUGCGUAGCCGGCCUGAGAGGGUGACCGGCCACACUGAGACUGAGACACGGCCCAGACCCCUACGGGAGGCAGCAGUAGGGAAUCUUCCGCAAUGGACGAAAGUCUGACGGAGCGACGCCGCGUGAGCGAAGAAGGUCUUCGGAUCGUAAAGCUCUGUUGUUAGGGAAGAAGAAGCGUCGUUCGAACAGGGCGGCGCGGUGACGGUA
Molecule: ribosomal RNA, 446 nt
Filed under: uncultured bacterium
Lineage: Bacteria
Description: bacterial SSU rRNA
Rfam family: Bacterial small subunit ribosomal RNA
Source: RNAcentral